AGAGUUUGAUCCUGGCUCAGGAUAAACGCUGGCGGCGUGCCUAACACAUGCAAGUCGAACGCCCUACGCAAGUAGGGAGUGGCGGACGGGUGAGGAACACGUGGGUUAUCUACCUUUCGGUGAGGAAUACCGGCGAGAAAUCGCCGACAAUACCGCAUAUGCUCGUAAGAGCAAAGCUCGCAAGGGCGCCGGAAGAUGAG
This 200-nucleotide ribosomal RNA is filed under the name uncultured bacterium. RNAcentral's name for it is "partial 16S ribosomal RNA". It matches the Rfam family "Bacterial small subunit ribosomal RNA", at positions 8 to 229 of the family's 1533-position model. The record is from RNAcentral.